CACUUCUAGCAUACCAAUUAUUAGAGGCACUGCCUGCCCAGUGACAUUAGUUCAACGGCCGCGGUAUCCUGACCGUGCAAAGGUAGCAUAAUCAUUUGUUCCUUAAAUAGGGACUUGCAUGAAUGGCCACACGAGGGUUUUACUGUCUCUCACUUAUAAUCAGUGAAAUUGACCUUCCCGUGAAGAGGCGGGAAUUCAAAAAUAAGACGAGAAGACCCUAUGGAGCUUUAAUUAAUUAACUCACAAACAAAUACUUAAUGUUCCCAGGAACACAAAACACUUCAGAUGAGUUAACAAUUUAGGUUGGGGUGACCUCGGAAUACAAAACAACUUCCGAGUGAUAAAGUAAAGACAAACAAGUCAAAACAUUACAUCAUUUAUUGAUCCAAUAAAAUUGAUCAACGGAACAAGUUACCCUAGGGAUAACAGCGCAAUCCUGUUUGAGAGUCCAUAUCGACAACAGGGUUUACGACCUCGAUGUUGGAUCAGGACAUCCCAAUGGUGCAGCCGCUAUUAAAGGUUCGUUUGUUCAACGAUUAAAGUCCU
RNAcentral lists this ribosomal RNA (546 nucleotides) under Macroglossus minimus (lesser long-tongued fruit bat). RNAcentral describes it as "partial 16S ribosomal RNA". It matches the Rfam family "Bacterial large subunit ribosomal RNA", at positions 1816 to 2597 of the family's 2925-position model. The record is from RNAcentral. Lineage: Eukaryota; Metazoa; Chordata; Mammalia; Chiroptera; Pteropodidae.